AACGAACGCUGGCGGCAUGCCUAACACAUGCAAGUCGAACGAGACCUUCGGGUCUAGUGGCGCACGGGUGCGUAACGCGUGGGAACCUUCCCUUAGGUUCGGAAUAACUCCCCGAAAGGGGUGCUAAUACCGGAUAAUGUCUUCGGACCAAAGAUUUAUCGCCUUUGGAUGGGCCCGCGUUGGAUUAGCUAGUUGGUAGGGUAAAAGCCUACCAAGGCGACGAUCCAUAGCUGGUCUGAGAGGAUGAUCAGCCACACUGGGACUGAGACACGGCCCAGACUCCUACGGGAGGCAGCAGUGGGGAAUAUUGGACCAUGGGCGAAAGCCUGAUCCAGCACUGCCGCGUGAGUGAUGAAGGCCUUAGGGUUGUAAAGCUCUUUUACCCGGGAUGAUAAUGACAGUACCGGGAGAAUAAGCUCCGGCUAACUCCGUG
Molecule: ribosomal RNA, 433 nt
Filed under: uncultured bacterium
Lineage: Bacteria
Description: partial 16S ribosomal RNA
Rfam family: Bacterial small subunit ribosomal RNA
Source: RNAcentral